This 498-nucleotide ribosomal RNA is filed under the name uncultured bacterium. Its description in RNAcentral is "partial 16S ribosomal RNA". It matches the Rfam family "Bacterial small subunit ribosomal RNA", at positions 30 to 523 of the family's 1533-position model. The record is from RNAcentral.
AUUGAACGCUGGCGGCAUGCCUUACACAUGCAAGUCGAACGGCAGCGGACCUUCGGGUGCCGGCGAGUGGCGAACGGGUGAGUAAAGUAUCGGAACGUACCUUUCAGUGGGGGAUAACGUAGCGAAAGGUACGCUAAUACCGCAUAUUCUGUGAGCAGGAAAGCAGGGGAUCCCAAGGCCUUGCGCUGAUUGAGCGGCCGAUAUCAGAUUAGCUAGUUGGUGAGGUAAAGGCUCACCAAGGCGACGAGCUGUAGCGGGUCUGAGAGGAUGAUCCGCCACACUGGAACUGAGACACGGUCCAGACUCCUACGGGAGGCAGCAGUGGGGAAUAUUGGACAAUGGGGGUAACCCUGAUCCAGCCAUGCCGCGUGAGUGAAGAAGGCCUUCGGGUUGUAAAGCUCUUUCGGCCGGGAAGAAAUCGCACGGGCUAAUACCCUGUGUGGAUGACGGUACCGGAAUAAGAAGCACCGGCUAACUACGUGCCAGCCGCCGCCGUAA